RNAcentral lists this ribosomal RNA (429 nucleotides) under Chloroflexota bacterium. Its description in RNAcentral is "Chloroflexi bacterium partial 16S ribosomal RNA". It matches the Rfam family "Bacterial small subunit ribosomal RNA", at positions 355 to 776 of the family's 1533-position model. The record is from RNAcentral. Lineage: Bacteria; Bacillati; Chloroflexota.
UGGGGAAUAUUGCACAAUGGGCGCAAGCCUGAUGCAGCCAUGCCGCGUGUGUGAAGAAGGCCUUCGGGUUGUAAAGCACUUUCAGCGGGGAGGAAGGCGUUAAGGUUAAUAACCUUGGCGAUUGACGUUACCCGCAGAAGAAGCACCGGCUAACUCCGUGCCAGCAGCCGCGGUAAUACGGAGGGUGCAAGCGUUAAUCGGAAUUACUGGGCGUAAAGCGCACGCAGGCGGUCUGUCAAGUCGGAUGUGAAAUCCCCGGGCUCAAACGGGGAACUGGAUUCGAAACUGGCAGGCUAGAGUCUUGUAGAGGGGGGUAGAAUUCCAGGGGUAGCGGUGAAAUGCGUAGAGAUCUGGAGGAAGACCGGUGGCGAAGGCGGCCCCCUGGACAAAGACUGACGCUCAGGUGCGAAAGGGGGGGGAGCAAACAGG